Molecule: non-coding RNA, 1075 nt
Organism: Meleagris gallopavo (turkey)
Lineage: Eukaryota; Metazoa; Chordata; Aves; Galliformes; Phasianidae
Source: RefSeq, a predicted model, not a curated record
UUGGAGAUUUAUCCCUUGUGGAGUUUUCCCCACGAGCUGAGGUGUUAGGAGACAGGUGAGAAAGCCCUUGCCUCUCACAGCACAGCAAUGGAGGAAUGUCCCGGUGAAUUGCUAAAUAUUCAUGAGGAGUGGGUAUGAAAUUCCUCUGAGCAAACGGAGAUGGCAUCAGCAGGCAUUGCGGGGAGCUGCUUCAGGCAGGAGGUGUGGGGAGCUGUGGGGCUGAGGGCCUGGCUGUUCUGCCCUGCCCAGGAGCACCAUCCCAGCACACUGCAGUCCUGGACCUGCAAUUUUUCUAGUCUUUCCUUAACUGGUGUUAUAUAUAAUUCCUCCAUUUUAAUGGCAAAGAAGUCACAUUUAGUUGGACCGAACUGAAGAGCUCAACACUUUGGUUCUCCUUGUAGUUUUUUGUCUGUCAUUGGUUUUGUUGCAGUGGUGUAACACAGAAGGACGGCUGCCUACAAACCUGCUUUAUUAGGAGGAAAAUAAAUGCUGAUUCCUUUCUCCUCUGGAUAGAAGGGAUGCGUGUGGGCUGUGGAAGAUGCCAGCUGGGUCUGGGCCUGUUGUCUUGCUCCUGUCUCACCUCCCAGCACCACGAUGGGAGUCUGGAGGCACGGAUGGUGACUGCGAGUUCUCUGUGCCCCUGUGGCUGCCAGGGGGCUCCUGGCUUUCCUCUGGCUUUGCACCCGUGGUUUUGCACAACUUAAACUUCCACGGCUUCUGGAGUACUGCUUCAUUUUGUGGGUUUCUUGUCUUGCUCUAUGAUGUCCUGUAAAGUUCUGUCAUCAGUAAUUCCUGAGGAGCCUGCAGAGUUCCCUGUUUGACAAACUGUUCCCAAGUAUAUCUGGUGAGUGCUUUUCCCUUCCUUAGUUUUCCCAGUAUCACACUAACUCUUGGCAGACUUUUGAAAUGCCUUUAAUUUUUAUCUGUAAUUUCUCAUAAAAACAUUCCUGCAUUGAUUUUUUUUUUUAAAGCCAUUCUGCCAGAGAUGUGGACUCCUCUGUAUUUAAUGAAUUGUGAGGUAAUGAACGACAUACUUCUCUAUCGAACCUUCUUUCUUGAUUUAAGUUUGAAAUUA